CCUACGGGAGGCAGCAGUGGGGAAUAUUGGGCAAUGGAGGAAACUCUGACCCAGCGACGCCGUGUGCGGGAUGAAGGCCUUCGGGUUGUAAACCGCUUUCAGUAGGGAAGAAGCGAAAGUGACGGUACCUACAAAAGAAGCACCGGCUAACUAUGUGCCAGCAGCCGCGGUAAU
This 174-nucleotide ribosomal RNA is filed under the name uncultured bacterium. RNAcentral's name for it is "partial 16S ribosomal RNA". It matches the Rfam family "Bacterial small subunit ribosomal RNA", at positions 338 to 524 of the family's 1533-position model. The record is from RNAcentral.